RNAcentral lists this long non-coding RNA (1296 nucleotides) under Strigops habroptila (Kakapo). Its description in RNAcentral is "lncRNA (ENSSHBG00005002721.1)". The record is from RNAcentral. Lineage: Eukaryota; Metazoa; Chordata; Aves; Psittaciformes; Psittacidae.
AGCCCUGCUCAACACUAUCCAGCACCUUCAAAGGGAAAAAAAUGUCUCUGGAGCUGAUGGCAAAGCAACAGACAACGCACCUAUGCCAACUACGAGCACAGCAGCUACUCAAACUCUGACCACAACAGACAAUGCAACUACUCCAACUUCAAAUACAGCAGCUACACCAAGCCCAGUGACAAGCACAGCAGCUACUCAAACCCCGACAGCAACAGACAAUGUGGCUACCCCAAGCACCGCAGCUACACCAACCCCAGUGACAAGCACAGUAGCUACUCAAACCCUGACAGCAACAGACAAUGCAGCUGUUGGUGUUACUCAGCUCCCAAGCACAACAGCUGCACCAACCCCAGCAACAGACACUGCAGCCACUCCAACCCUAGUGGCAGACACUGCAGUCACUCCAACCACAGUUACAAACACUGCACUUAAACCAAAUGGCCAGUUUGUGACAAUGUCUGUUGCCCCUAUAAGCAAAAGCAAACGAGAGGCACAAAGAGUAACCCGUGAAACGAAGAAAGAUGAAGACCCAAUGCCAUUACUACACGGAACAGCAUCUGAACAAGAGUUACUACUACGUGGAUCAGAGGAAGAGGAAGAAGAAGAAGAGGUGACUUCUCGACCUCAACCAAGCUGCGGAAUAUGCAAAAAGAUUUCACCCGUCUUACAGGGGAGCACAUUGUCACCUGGUUGCUCCGAUGCUCGGACAAUGGGGCCGACGGUCACGAACUAGAAGGUAAGGAAGCCAAGCAGCUGGGAUCACUUGCUAGGGAAGGAGGAAUUGACAAAGCGAUUGCAAGAGAGAAGUGAGCCCUCAGCCUUUGGAGGCGGCUCCUGGCAGCUGUGAAGGAAAGGUUUCCCUACAGGGACGAUAUUACUUGUUGCUCAGCCAACUGGACCACGAUAGAGAAAGGCACCCGGUCCCUGAGGGAAUCAGCCAUUAUAGAGAUGAUCUAUCAUAGGCCAGAUGCCUGGAACACAUCCGUAGAUCCAGAUGAAGUCGAAUGUACACGACCCAUGUGGCGGAAACUUACACAGAGUGCACCAUCAUCAUAUGCCCACACAUUGGCAUCAAUGACCUGGAAUGACAGAGUAUCACCAACAGUGGAUUACCUGAUUCGUCAGCUCUGAGAAUUCGAAGACAAUCUCACCCCUUCCAUCAUUUCAGCUGUGGAAAAACUGUCCUAGGAGUUCAAACAAUUGAGAGACGAUUUAUCCAAUCUAUCCAGCUCCCCACGUGUACCAACCCAUGUCUCAGCUAUUAACAGAAGGCGCCCUACUGCUCAAGAAAGAAAA